CAAUUUUGUUGGAGUUUGCAUUAUCAUAGAAGCAAUUUUCACAGAUGUUUUGCUGUUUGACAAAAGUGGAUAAUGGUUUCAUGUGAUUGAAUCAAAUAAAAGUGAAGGAUAAGGAUGUUGAGAAGAAAGAGAUUACUUGAUUACAAUGGGAUUACUUCACUACAAGUCAUUGGUGGCGAUCGAAGGUGGACAGCAAGAUCGAAGCUCAGCAAGAUUGAAGAUUGUUCGAGGAAGAAGGAGUUCGCCGUUGACUAAAAGGUUUAUCUGAACAGCUAGUUGUCAAGAUGAACGUGAAGA
Dendronephthya gigantea is the source of this 297-nucleotide long non-coding RNA. RefSeq lists it as uncharacterized. The record is from RefSeq and is a predicted model, not a curated record. The transcript is spliced from 4 exons. Lineage: Eukaryota; Metazoa; Cnidaria; Anthozoa; Malacalcyonacea; Nephtheidae.